UCUAAGUUACCAAGAAACAGUUCGUUUACACGAAUAAGAAAUCGGUGUAUUUUUACAGGACGUCCUCGUGCUGUUUAUGAGAAGUUUCGAAUGUCUCGUAUUGUUUUUCGUGGUUUGGCUGCUCGUGGUGCUUUGCAAGGUGUUAAGAAAGCUUCUUGGUAGAUUGUGCUCAAGGAUUUCAUCUUUUCAAGAAUUAGGAGUCUGCAAGAUCACUAAAAUGGAUCUCAUAUACUAAAGCCCAAGUAGAUUACAGUGGGAACAAGAUUUUCAAUUUCAGGAGUUGUCUCAACUUUUUCAAAUAAAUUGUCAUGUUACAAUCUCUAGCUCGUCCCAUAUCCAGGCUUUGGUUAUGCCCUGUAUACUUUUCUUCAUUAUUGCCCCGAGAUUUCUGGAUGUUCUUAAUCGGCUUGGUAGAACCUUGCUAAAGGUUUUCACUGUCUUGAAAAUUUUGAUUUUAUGGUGUACUGUAUUUCCAGCUUUAACUGUUUAUCAGAGAUUUGUAUGCGUCUGUCUA
Capsicum annuum is the source of this 514-nucleotide long non-coding RNA. RefSeq lists it as uncharacterized. The record is from RefSeq and is a predicted model, not a curated record. Lineage: Eukaryota; Viridiplantae; Streptophyta; Magnoliopsida; Solanales; Solanaceae. The transcript has 2 exons.